RNAcentral lists this ribosomal RNA (468 nucleotides) under uncultured bacterium. RNAcentral describes it as "partial 16S ribosomal RNA". It matches the Rfam family "Bacterial small subunit ribosomal RNA", at positions 28 to 507 of the family's 1533-position model. The record is from RNAcentral.
GACGAACGCUGGCGGCGUGCUUAAUACAUGCAAGUCGAACGGAAAGGCCCUGCUUUUGUGGGGUGCUCGAGUGGCGAACGGGUGAGUAACACGUGAGUAACCUGCCCUUGACUUUGGGAUAACUUCAGGAAACUGGGGCUAAUACCGGAUAGGAGCUCCUGCUGCAUGGUGGGGGUUGGAAAGUUUCGGCGGUUGGGGAUGGACUCGCGGCUUAUCAGCUUGUUGGUGGGGUAGUGGCUUACCAAGGCUUUGACGGGUAGCCGGCCUGAGAGGGUGACCGGCCACAUUGGGACUGAGAUACGGCCCAGACUCCUAAGGGAGGCAGCAGUGGGGAAUAUUGCACAAUGGGCGGAAGCCUGAUGCAGCAACGCCGCGUGCGGGAUGACGGCCUUCGGGUUGUAAACCGCUUUCGCCUGUGACGAAGCGUGAGUGACGGUAAUGGGUAAAGAAGCACCGGCUAACUACGUG